UUUCAAAACCCACUGAGAUCCACGAUGGCAAACCACCAGGAAAGUAACCUUAACAUUCCAAAUGACCUGAGCUCUGCCCAAGAUGUGCAGCAGUUCUCCUUCUCUAGCCCUACAACGUUGAAUAACCAAACGCCUAUUCCUCUUAAUCCCUCGCCAAGCUUGGCAGGGAAUACUCCCACCAUGACUCUGUCUAACCAGGACAUUCAAACUAUGGCCCUCCAGCUACAGACUACUGCUCACUGGUUGGGGCAGAUAAUGCAACAGAGGGGCCUUAGCACCCCAGUAAGUGCACUCCCAGUAGUGGAGGAACCCAGAACCAAUGAACCCCGACCU
RNAcentral lists this long non-coding RNA (333 nucleotides) under Manihot esculenta (cassava). Its description in RNAcentral is "long non-coding RNA (MESC_LNC005239)". Lineage: Eukaryota; Viridiplantae; Streptophyta; Magnoliopsida; Malpighiales; Euphorbiaceae. The record is from RNAcentral.